Molecule: ribosomal RNA, 276 nt
Filed under: uncultured bacterium
Lineage: Bacteria
Description: partial small subunit ribosomal RNA
Rfam family: Bacterial small subunit ribosomal RNA
Source: RNAcentral
AGAAUCAACGCUGGCGGCGUGCCUAACACAUGCAAGUCGAACGGGAAGGGGGGGCUUCGGCUCCCCGGAGAGUGGCGUACGGGUGAGUAACACGUGGGUAAUCUGCCUUUGGGUGGGGAAUAACGAUCCGAAAGGAUCGCUAAUACCGCAUAACGCAGCGGCACCGCAUGGUGACAGUUGUUAAAGGGGGGGAUCUUCGGACCUCCUGCCUGAAGAGGAGCCCGCGCCCGAUUAGCUAGUUGGUGAGGUAACGGCUCACCAAGGCUUCGAUCGGUA